Molecule: non-coding RNA, 115 nt
Organism: Triticum aestivum (bread wheat)
Lineage: Eukaryota; Viridiplantae; Streptophyta; Magnoliopsida; Poales; Poaceae
Source: Rfam
CAAGUACUCCCUCCGUCCAGAAUUACUUGUCAUCAAAAUGGAUGUGUGUAGAACUAAAAUACAUCUAGAUACAUCCAUUUCAAUGACAAGUAUUUUCGAACGGAGGGAGUACAAG